This 231-nucleotide ribosomal RNA is filed under the name uncultured bacterium. RNAcentral describes it as "partial 16S ribosomal RNA". It matches the Rfam family "Bacterial small subunit ribosomal RNA", at positions 118 to 350 of the family's 1533-position model. The record is from RNAcentral.
UGAGCAAUCUGCCCUUGGCUUCGGGAUAACUCCGGGAAACCGGGGCUAAUACCGGAUGUGACAUGCCCGCGCAUGGGGGUGUGUGGAAAGAUUUAUCGGCCAGGGAUGGGCUCGCGGCCUAUCAGCUUGUUGGUGGGUGGAUGGCCACCAAGGCGACGACGGGUAGCCGGCCUGAGAGGGUGACCGGCCACACUGGGACUGAGACACGGCCCAGACUCCGUACGGGAGGCA